This 83-nucleotide transfer RNA is filed under the name Spirochaetes bacterium ADurb.Bin001. RNAcentral describes it as "tRNA-Leu". It matches the Rfam family "tRNA". Rfam says of the family: Transfer RNA (tRNA) molecules are approximately 80 nucleotides in length. Their secondary structure includes four short double-helical elements and three loops (D, anti-codon, and T loops). The record is from RNAcentral. Lineage: Bacteria; Pseudomonadati; Spirochaetota.
UGCGAGAGUGGUGGAACGGCAGACACGCCAGACUUAGGAUCUGGUGCCUUCAGGCGUAAGGGUUCAAGUCCCUUCUCUCGCAG